Molecule: ribosomal RNA, 253 nt
Filed under: uncultured bacterium
Lineage: Bacteria
Description: partial 16S ribosomal RNA
Rfam family: Bacterial small subunit ribosomal RNA
Source: RNAcentral
UACAGAGGUCCCGAGCGUUGUUCGGAUUCACUGGGCGUAAAGGGUGCGUAGGUGGCUUGAAAAGUUUGAUGUGAAAGCUCAGGGCUUAACCCUGAAAUGGCAUUGAAUACUGUCGAGCUGGAGGUUUGGAGGGGGGACUGGAAUUCUUGGUGUAGCAGUGAAAUGCGUAGAUAUCAAGAGGAACACCAGUGGCGAAGGCGGCAUCCUGGACCAACAUUGACGCUGAGGAGCGAAAGCCAGGGGAGCAAACGGG